This is a long non-coding RNA of Cebus imitator (Panamanian white-faced capuchin), 671 nucleotides long. RefSeq lists it as uncharacterized. Lineage: Eukaryota; Metazoa; Chordata; Mammalia; Primates; Cebidae. The transcript has 3 exons. The record is from RefSeq and is a predicted model, not a curated record.
GUUGCCUACUCCCCGCUCCUUGGAGUUUUUAUUUUUUUUCCUCUCCCCACGUCGGUGUUUGUCCUCUUUGCAUCACUGCUGCGGGGGUGGAGCUGGGAGACUUGCUGAUUCCUCCGCACAGUAGGCGGGAUCGUGGCGCCUUCCCGCUCUUGACUUCCAAAUCUUGGACGCCUCAUGCCUUUUCUGGGCUCACGGACGUUUCCUCAAGCUUCCCUCACUAGCCUCCUUAACCAUGCAUUUGACUUGAACAGGCUAAGCGCAGGGCCUGGAAAUCUCCAGUCCACGCACCGGUGUGCGAGCUCUUGCACCUGAACCUGGCACUCGACCUCACCUCCUCCAGUGCGGGUUUCUUCCUCCUCACCGAGCUCAUCCUGGUGCAGCUAGUCUGGCAAAUUUUAUUCCCGAGGCAAAUUUUCCCGGGACAAACAUUUCUCCCCGCCCGCUCCUCCCCACUCCCCAUCUGCAGAGGAAGAGCGGUAUUUGAGAAGUACUUCAAUUCAUGGAAAGCAGCUACUUCCUUCACUUACUAGCUGGACACAGUUUGAGGAUCGCUGAGUAAAGGUAAUUGGAAUCUGGAAUGCUUGGGGACCACCACUGGACUAAGUCAAAUGAAGAAGUUAGAGAAUCAAAUCAAGUUUAACCUACUCUCCUAAAAGCAAGGAAGCCCAAAG